UGGGGCCAUUCUUAUUUGCACGGCUGGGCUGGACCUCUCGGGGUUACAGCCUUGCUGAAUUAUUCACCCUUGUCUUUUGCGUACUUCUUGUUUCCUUGGUGGGUUCGCCCACCACUAGGACAAACAUAAACCUUUUGUAAUUGCAAUCAGCGUCAGUAACAAAUUAAUAAUUACAACUUUCAACAACGGAUCUCUUGGUUCUGGCAUCGAUGAAGAACGCAGCGAAAUGCGAUAAGUAGUGUGAAUUGCAGAAUUCAGUGAAUCAUCGAAUCUUUGAACGCACAUUGCGCCCUUUGGUAUUCCAAAGGGCAUGCCUGUUCGAGCGUCAUUUGUACCCUCAAGCUUUGCUUGGUGUUGGGCGUCUUGUCUCUAGCUUUGCUGGAGACUCGCCUUAAAGUAAUUGGCAGCCGGCCUACUGGUUUCGGAGCGCAGCACAAGUCGCACUCUCUAUCAGCAAAGGUCUAGCAUCCAUUAAGCCUUUUUUUCAACUUUUGACCUCGGAUCAGGUAGGGAUACCCGCUGAACUUAAGCAUAUCAAUAAGCGGAGGAA
This 550-nucleotide ribosomal RNA is filed under the name Alternaria sp. RNAcentral's name for it is "eukaryotic LSU rRNA". The stretch from base 175 to 328 matches the Rfam family "5.8S ribosomal RNA". Lineage: Eukaryota; Fungi; Ascomycota; Dothideomycetes; Pleosporales; Pleosporaceae. The record is from RNAcentral.